AAGACCUUUGAACCAACGCUACUAACCCCAACCCACACAUCUACUACCUUUUCUUCCUUCCGCGCUUUCUGUUUGCCUUUCGAUCCUCGCUCAAGCUGCGCAUAACACCCUCUCCUUUCACGCGCUCGACUUUUCCUUCCACCCCCUCCCCGUGUAAACCAUGGCCACCACGUACGAGGAGUUUUCGGCGAAGCUGGACCGCCUGGAUGAGGAGUUCAACAGGAAGAUGCAGGAGCAGAACGCCAAGUUCUUUGCGGACAAGCCGGAUGAGUCGACGCUGUCGCCCGAGAUGAAGGAGCACUACGAGAAGUUCGAGCGCAUGAUCAAGGAACACACAGAGAAGUUCAACAAGAAGAUGCACGAGCACUCGGAGCACUUCAAGCAGAAGUUCGCCGAGCUGCUCGAGCAGCAGAAGGCUGCGCAGAACAUGUGCAAGUAGCACUAGAAACAGUUAAGCGGCUCGAAGCAUGCCGGAUACCACCAGGACUCGCAUAUUUGUGCAUGCCGGUGCUUGCCGAUGUUUGCAUGAGCGCUUUCGGGCAGGGGAAGAGGUUGAAGGCAAAGAAACACCAAUGAUUUGCCCUGGAAUGCAAGUACGAAGACGACAGCGGUGCAUCGAGAGUCGGGGGUGUGGUUUUAUGAGCGUCUCAGCAGUAAGAGGCACAGCGGUGUGCGCGCCUCCCUUUGUGGGCGUAUGGCCAGGCGUUUGCCACAGGCGUCGCUCGUGUGCCCACGAACGGUAUGUGUGUGUGUGUCCGCCCGGCGCGUGGAUGCGUGGAUGGCGCAGCUCAGCAGGGAGAGCCGGAUAGCAGUUGAGGGAAGGAGAUUAAGAGUGCAGGUGAGAGGGUGCGCCGCCUCCCGACCUUCUCUCUGAAGCUUUCCAUUGAAACGAUCUAUACUCUUGUGUGCGCAAGCCCCAGCUUGUGGCCGUGGUAGAGCCGAGGUAAUGCCGAACGAGCAGUGAGGUAGAAACGUGCAAUGCUGAAGGUUUCUUGUUAUUUUGUUUUCUCGACGUGCGCCGCUUUUCCGUAUCGUGCCCUUUCAUGUUCGUGAAUUGGUCAAAGGCGCGGGGAACGCGCCGUGAGGCGAACGGUGCGGUGGUGAAGCCGUGCGGUCGCGUCUGUUAACCUUCGCGUGUACCCCAUCGCCAUCUGCGUUCCCGUCCCCUGCGCUCUGCUGCCCCUUUUGCCGUAUACAUCCUCUACCGUCAACGUGCGCACAUCUCUAGAGUGCCAGUAUCGGCGAGAGGGAGCGUGGAGCGGGGCUGGGUGAGUGGGAAGUGCGAGAAGCGAACGGGUGCCAUCUGCUCUAGUCUUGGUAAAGCCCCCGAGUACAACUUAAGCUGGCUUUUUGGUCACAACAUGCGUCGGGUUCAGUGUCUGGCACCGAACUUUGCCUGCGUGCACACCUUUCCAUCCCCAUGCGCGUUCCUCUUUUUGGGACAUCUUGAGCCCCUGCACGACUCGCUUCCCGACAUCCCCUACUCUUAUUUCUCUUUUUGUUGGAUUCGUCUUUUGAUCCAGGCACCUUCUCAGAGGCGUGACGGCUGUCCUCGUGUUGACCCGCUCUUCUUCCUCGUCCUCUCUCCUGUCCGGUUGUAUCUUCACUGCGCAUUUUUUCGUCUCCCUGGACUCCACUGUACACCUCCCUCUUGACUCUUCCCUCAUAUUUCUUAUUUUUCAACACCCCUCCCACACACACACAUACACGGCCGAGGCCCGUAGGGCGUCGGAGAGAGUGCGCGCGGGGACCCUGAGAGAGAAAGCGAGAGAAGCACGCAAAGCCGAGGCCGGCAGUCGGGAAAACAUGAGGCGGGCGAAGAAAGGCCAUGCAGUGAGGUGCAUCUUCGGCAGAUGAACACGCAGUGUGUUGCCGUUCCCCACCCCCUUUUUGCCACCCGUACACAUACGCAAACACGUAUACGUGUGUGUGUGUUGAGGAUGGAUGGACGCUGCGUGCGCAUCAGCCCUCUUAUAUUUUUGGCUACCCGCUGCCGCUGCUCUCUCUAAUAUUACCACCUCUUCUCUUGUUUCCCUUCUUGGCGUUAGCUCAGGAGGUCUUCAUGGGAAAGCGCUGCAAAGAGCACGGCCACCAACCACGCAUACCUUGGCGACCUUUUUUUUUUGCUUCACACCCUUCUCCUCCACGCAGGUUGAAGCUGGCUGCCGUUGCUCUUGCCUGCGGAACGACGCUACUGUAGCUAAUUCUCUUUCGCGAGCUCUCUCUCACACGAUUGGUGUGCGUGUGUGGGAUAGGUGCGUUACUUUCCUUUUUUUUUUCCGCUUCUUCAUGCUUCUUGCGUCUUCCUUUUUUUUGUCGUUUAUUGCUCUCGCUCUUUCUUUUGCGUCUCGCGCACUUCUCUUUCUCUUGCUUCACUCUUCGACUGCGCUGCCCCUCCCAUAUAUCAUUCAAACAACACACACACACACAUACACACAUAAAAACCUCUCGAAAAGGGGAAAAAACG
RNAcentral lists this unclassified non-coding RNA (2467 nucleotides) under Leishmania donovani. RNAcentral describes it as "gene:LdHU3.35.2870(CDS-product:Kinetoplastid_memb rane_protein_11_putative)". Lineage: Eukaryota; Euglenozoa; Kinetoplastea; Trypanosomatida; Trypanosomatidae. The record is from RNAcentral.